GGCCAGGCUGGCAACAGAGCAAGCAAGACU
RNAcentral lists this non-coding RNA (30 nucleotides) under Gambierdiscus australes. The record is from RNAcentral. Lineage: Eukaryota; Dinophyceae; Gonyaulacales; Pyrocystaceae.